Molecule: small RNA, 252 nt
Filed under: Klebsiella sp. RIT-PI-d
Lineage: Bacteria; Pseudomonadati; Pseudomonadota; Gammaproteobacteria; Enterobacterales; Enterobacteriaceae
Description: Erse small RNA
Rfam family: Erse small RNA
Source: Rfam by way of RNAcentral
CCGGCGGAAUUACUGGCUCCAUGGACCGGCGAUAUCGCGGCUGAAGGCAUAAGCCGGGUUUUACGGCGCGGAGCGACCUUUCUUAAUCACAGUGCGCGGCGUCAGCAGAGGUAUGUCGCUGAUGCGCUGACAGAAGAGUGGCGUCUGGCGCCCGGCGCGCUGGAAGUUGUAUGGUUUGCUGAAGAAGUCGCUGCCGUCGAACGUGCAGCAGAUAAUCUAACGACACGGCUGGAAAAACUGGAGGACAAAUGA